Molecule: ribosomal RNA, 467 nt
Filed under: uncultured bacterium
Lineage: Bacteria
Description: partial 16S ribosomal RNA
Rfam family: Bacterial small subunit ribosomal RNA
Source: RNAcentral
GACGAACGCUGGCGGCGUGCUUAACACAUGCAAGUCGAACGGAAAGGCGCUGCGUUUGUGGGGCGCUCGAGUGGCGAACGGGGGAGUAACACGUGAGUAACCUGCCCUUGACUUUGGGAUAACUUCAGGAAACUGGGGAUAAUAUCGGAUAGGAGCUCCUGCUGCAUGGGGGGGGUUGGAAAGUUUCGGCGGUUGGGGAUGGACUCGCGGCUUAUCAGCUUGUUGGUGGGGUAGUGGCUUACCAAGGCUUUGAAGGGUAGCCGGCCUGAGAGGGUGACCGGCCACAUUGGGACUGGGGUGCGGCCCAGACUCCUACGGGCGGCAGCAGUGGGGAAUAUUGCGCAAUGGGCGGAAGCCUGAUGCAGCGACGCCGCGUGCGGGAUGACGGCCUUCGGGUUGUAAACCGCUUUCGCCUGUGACGGAGCGUGAGUGACGGUACUGGGUAAAGAAGCACCGGCUAACUACGU